CUGAACGCGCUUCCUUUUAGGUUCGAUGUUUAAUCAACGACGAUCCAACGAUCCUGUUUCGUUCGACGAUUUCGAAGACAACGGCUUCUUACGUCGCAAAUACGACUUACGAUCUAGUUUUCUUCGUCGUAUAACGAUACAGAAACAGAGCGGUAAAUUUCCACAGCAUCGUUUUCUUACAGUAUACGAUAUAUAUGGUAAAAAAAAAAAAACCUAGCGCGCCGAGCACGAUGAAGCACUCGGCGGACGAUAAACCGUCUGGAAGAAAUUCGAGAGGAUAGAGCCAUACGCAGGGACUGCGUCUUAAAAAUGUCCGUGGGAAAUUAAUAGUUCGUAAUAACGAGUGCUACAAAAGGUAAACAGGAACGGUAGAAUUAUAAAAAUAAGAAAGUGUUGCGAUAUUAUUUAAAGAAAAGUGAAAACGGCGAGCGAAAUCCACGAUGGAUGGACCGGAUAGAAGCAGAGGGAGAAAGAUUCUCGAGUUUCACGAUUUCCACGAUCGAAAGACGCUUCACCCCUACGGUCGCCUUUACCCCCGGGAUAAAUAAACACACACGCACGGGAUGUAUAAUGGAGGAACAGGUCGAGCACACAGGUGUCUGAAAGGGGCCAGAAAGGGGCCAGAAAGGCCACGGAUGGAUGUUACGUGCGUCAUCGUUGAUGCGUGUAUGCCUUGAAAAUGGGACUUCUGGUGUCCGACCCCCUACACGACUCUCCUCUUUUAAGGGAUCCGACAAACGUGAACAGAGGCUAGACGAAACUGCUUUUAAAGAGUGUCACCACGCCACGCCACGCCACGCCACACCACGGCACGAAACGCUACGCCAAUCCACGCCACACCACGCCACACCACGCCACACCACGCCACAUCACGCCACGCCACACCACGCCACGCUACACCAUUCUACGCCACGCCGAUACGGUCGCCAGGAAUAAUUUUAUUGUAAUCCGAUGCCUGGUGGCCAGUGGCGUAAGGCGUAACGCGAUGUACGCUUUCGUCGCCGCCUUUGAAAUCGUACAAUUUCACGGUGGCGAGCGUUUUCGAAACGUGACGAUCAGCAAAUAGCUUUGACGGAAACUCGUAUUCAACGAUUUUUACAUUUGCUUAAAAUUUGGAGUUUGGAAUUUUCGGCGAGUCUCCUCGCUCUUCUUAGGUACAUCCUCGCGUACGUUUGAAAUGUGAACGCGCUAAAUCUUAUAACAUUCGUAUACCACUAUUAAGUCUAUUAAGAGAAUCAUUGUAUCACGAAAUAUCUCGUUUUUAACUGAACUCUCUUGGUAUACGAAGAGCGAAAGUUGGGCAAAAUUCUGAUUCUCUUUUGUCUCAACUCUUUCUAUCCGUCUCUGUUUCAUUCGUCUUUCGACCGACCGAACAAAAUCCUAUACUUGUUGCCCUGCUAUUAUUUAACCGUUACGGCGAGUAAUUAUUUUUACUAACCUUAGCUCCGGAUGCAAACGGAUAAAAAAUGAAUAUGCCUUGUAAAAUGGAGGAAAAGUUGUUUUCGUUUUAAAAGAUCAUCGAUAUUAAGGCGAAAGUGAGACAAAAAAUAUGUCAGAACUUUCGAGAAGCGUUUGUUGAUGGCCCAUGUGCCCUAUCGCAUUAGUAUAAACAGAUUACCUCGAAAGGAAGUAGCCAUACAUACAUACAUAUGAUCGGUCAAGUAUGGAGAGGAAGGGCCUGCAGACGGACGAGAGUACAGGAACCUCGCUAAAAGCGUCGUUUGUCAACGGAGCUAUAGAAUAUUUAUGCUGUAAAAUAGUUUGAAAAGCUACUGGAAACUAUCCGAGAGAAGAGGGUCUGAGGACGAAAACGGUCGGUCGUCCUGUAGGAUUUUUAGGCUUAGGAUUUCCCUGGUGUAAGAACAAAACUCCGUCCUAGUCUCGUUCGAACAGCUUUGUUCGUCGUCGUCUGUGACGAGAAACGUGUGAGUGGAUACGAAGGAGACCGUCGCGACGGUCCCUACAUGCAUCGUCGACCGCAACGUUCACCAUAAAGGUCUUCUAAUCUUCCUCGAGGAUCCCAUGCGAUGCUUACAUUUGGAACAUGCUACAAAAUCUGAGGGUAACGUAAGCUGUGUACUCGUGUACUUACGUACAGCAAUUACCGUUCGUAAGUAUAAGAAUACUUUGAUAGAUUUUUGCUGCUUGAGAGGCUGCGCGUAAAUUUUACUAACGAUAAAUCGAAAGCGAAUCUUGUCCUAAGAGUCCUAGCUCCUACAGUCCUAAAUCUUUCUCCUUUUUAUCAUCAUCUGUGAAUAUCAACGUACUAUCCGUACGUUUUAUUACGAACAGACGACAAACACGUUUCGCACGAGCCUCUAAUUACGCAAAAGGAUAUGACUUCAUCGUAGCAUAAAUGUCUGUUGCUGCCGUUAUUCGCAAGACCUUUAAUCCGCUUCUGCGGCACGUAACAGAAACCAAUACACGUAAUAUGUAGUGUAACAGUGUCACGACGAAGGCGCAAACGCUGGAAGACGCGAGCGUGCGUAAGGCCCGAGGAGAACGAUUUACGUUACGAGAGAUCGUUAUUUCGCCGUUAAAAUCGUUAGAAUCGUUAAAAUCGUUAAAAUCGUUAAAAUCGUUAAAAUCGUUGAAAUCGUUAAAAUAAAACGACGCGAUUAGCGUCUCGCUAAUCUAGUUUAGAGUUUAGGUCAGUGUUGCCUCGUUGAAACUUUCUAUCCAUUUUUCUUCCUUCCUUUUGAACAUACGUACCGCGAUUCGAACGUUGCCUGUUUUCGAAUUAGGUGGACAAUUCGACGAUUAUACCGGGGACCAGCUACCGCGUCGUAAUAAUUAAACGAGCAAUCAAGCGAGUUUCUUAACCGUGCGACAUGGUCGAUUUUUCUAAGACGUUGUAACGUCGUGUAUAGAGUGCUAUUCGUAACGAAUAUUUAGAAUAUGUAAUUAGAAAUUUCCAAGACUAUAAGCAUCGCUUGAAAUUAGUAUCGAUGACUUUUGAUUUAUCUUUGCUCGCGGAAUAACCCGCGACUACUUCAUUUGGUUUCGUCUGGAAUUUUCAAAAAAUUAUUUCAGAAUGCUCCUUAUCGAAUGCCGUGAUUAAUAAUAAUAAAGCGAUUAAAACUUGAAUGUUGCAACGAACAUGAAUGCGUGUUUCUUAUUUCGCCGUCUUUUUCAUACUUUUUCAUACUUAUCGGUAUCGUUGUUAUUAUCAUCGUAAACAUUUUAUUUGCAUAUUUUACUCAUUCUGAUACGCAUCUAAUAGUAAGAAAGUUCUGUUUAUCGUCGUUUAGGUUCUGUAACGUAGGAAGAGUUUAGGAAACACGAAGUGUUCCACGUUGCACAAAUCUGAUAACGAAAAGAGGCGUACGAAGACGUAAAGUGCCUUAACCCGUUGUAAAAAAAAAUUAAGAUAGCGUUGAACUGUUUCCCUCGAGAACAUAACGCUUCUUUCUUUAUCCGAAGAACGAUAGAUAGAGCUUGGUUUAAUUUAUAGUAGGUACGUAGGUUUCGGUUAGAAAAGGGAUCAGAUUUAUUCCAGCUUACUGGCAGAGCGUCUGGUUUCAAUAACGAAUCGUUUCAGCAGCAAUUACGAUCGUAUAACUAUGUAAAACAAGGACAAAUCGAUUAUUUUUAAACUAAAAUUUCCUUUCUACAGAGUACUUAGGUUAGUAAUAAACUUGGGGGUUUUCAGCUUUACGGUGAAGAGAAAUUUCAUCUCCGCAAAUUCUUGUCCCAUUAAAAUUUAUAUUACGUGUUUAUUACGGUAUCGUUGUCUUCGAUCGUACGAACCAACGAAACCUUCAUUUUUAGGCUACAGCUUGCAUCACAGUUAGCAUUAUCGCGUCGUCAUUGCCGUCGCCGAAGCUGACGAAACGGUUUGAUCACGUUCUCUUCCGCUAUUUGACAGUUGUGGCAUAGUAUCGUCGAGAAUUAUCGGUUCUUUUCCUCGAUGGCUUCGGUUCCUGGUAUUUUAUUGGAAGGAGCGAACAGGCCGCACAGGGUGCCUGGCGUGCACUUGGUCAAACAACGAGGUCUCUAUGGAGGCCCCUAGUUUAUUGGCGCUUCUAAUUCAAGAGCGGAAGUGGCCGAAAAGCAACGCUGAAAACAGACCUCCCGGAUUAAAAUAGGUAACCAUAACUGUUCGGCUUAAACGUUUCGUAUUAAUAAUUAA
Molecule: long non-coding RNA, 4132 nt
Organism: Bombus pyrosoma
Lineage: Eukaryota; Metazoa; Arthropoda; Insecta; Hymenoptera; Apidae
Exons: 4
Source: RefSeq, a predicted model, not a curated record